AGAGUUUGAUCCUGGCUCAGGACGAACGCUGGCGGCGUGCUUAACACAUGCAAGUCGAACGGAAAGGCCCCCACUUUUUUGGUGGGGGUGCUCGAGUGGCGAACGGGUGAGUAACACGUGGGUGAUCUGCCCUGUACUUCGGGAUAAGCUUGGGAAACUGGGUCUAAUACCGGAUAGGACCAUGGUUUAGUGUCUCAUGGUGGAAAAAUUAUUGUUUUGGUGCAGGAUGAGCUCGCGGCCUAUCAGCUUGUUGGUGGGGUAAUGGCCUACCAAGGCGUCGACGGGUAGCCGGCCUGAGAGGGUGGACGGCCACAUUGGGACUGAGAUACGGCCCAGACUCCUACGGGAGGCAGCAGUGGGGAAUAUUGCACAAUGGGCGCAAGCCUGAUGCAGCGACGCCGCGUGGGGGAUGACGGCCUUCGGGUUGUAAACUCCUUUCGUUAGGGACGAAGCCACACCUUUUUUUGGGUGUGGUGACGGUACCUUUGUUAAGAAGCACCGGCUAACUACGUGCCAGCAGCCGCGGUAAUACGUAGGGUGCGAGCGUUGUCCGGAAUUACUGGGCGUAAAGAGCUCGUAGGUGGUUUGUUGCGUCGUCUGUGAAAUUCCGGGGCUUAACUUCGGGGUGGCAGGCGAUACGGGCAUAACUAGAGUGCUGUAGGGGAGACUGGAAUUCCUGGUGUAGCGGUGGAAUGCGCAGAUAUCAGGAGGAACACCGAUGGCGAAGGCAGGUCUCUGGGCAGUAACUGACGCUGAGGAGCGAAAGCAUGGGGAGCGAACAGGAUUAGAUACCCUGGUAGUCCAUGCUGUAAACGGUGGGCGUUAGGUGUGGGGACCGGUUUGGUUUCUGUGCCGUAGCUAACGCAUUAAGCGCCCCGCCUGGGGAGUACGGAAACUCAAAGGAAUUGACGGGGGCCCGCACAAGCGGCGGAGCAUGUGGAUUAAUUCGAUGCAACGCGAAGAACCUUACCUGGGUUUGACAUGCACCAGACGGUUGUAGAGAUACGUACCUCCCUUUGUGGUUGGUGUGCAGGUGGUGCAUGGUUGUCGUCAGCUCGUGUCGUGAGAUGUUGGGUUAAGUCCCGCAACGAGCGCAACCCUUGUCUUAUGUUGCCAGCACUUUGGGUGGGGACUCAUGAGAGACUGCCGGGGUUAACUCGGAGGAAGGUGGGGAUGACGUCAAAUCAUCAUGCCCUUUAUGCCCAGGGCUUCACACAUGCUACAAUGGUUAGUACAACGCGCAGCAAACCUGUGAGGGUGAGCGAAUCGCUGAAAGCUAAUCUCAGUUCGGAUUGGGGUCUGCAACUCGACCCCAUGAAGUCGGAGUCGCUAGUAAUCGCAGAUCAGCAAUGCUGCGGUGAAUACGUUCCCGGGCCUUGUACACACCGCCCGUCACGUCAUGAAAGUUGGUAACACCCGAAGCCCAUGGCCUAACCACCAUUUUUUGGUGGGGGGAGUGGUCGAAGGUGGGAUUGGCGAUUGGGACGAAGUCGUAACAAGGUAGCCGUACCGGAAGGUGCGGCUGG
This 1526-nucleotide ribosomal RNA is filed under the name human oral metagenome. RNAcentral describes it as "bacterial SSU rRNA". It matches the Rfam family "Bacterial small subunit ribosomal RNA". The record is from RNAcentral.